RNAcentral lists this ribosomal RNA (3327 nucleotides) under Musa schizocarpa. Its description in RNAcentral is "eukaryotic LSU rRNA". It matches the Rfam family "Eukaryotic large subunit ribosomal RNA". Lineage: Eukaryota; Viridiplantae; Streptophyta; Magnoliopsida; Zingiberales; Musaceae. The record is from RNAcentral.
ACACGACGCGCUGGUGGAUGCCUUUGCGCGAAGCCAGACGUCGGUUUUCGGGACCCGGACGAGGCUCGAGGACCCAAGCCGGCGCGAGUCGAUGCCACGGACCGCCACCCUGUGUGUGGGGCUACCCGCUGAGUUUAAGCAUAUAAAUAAGCGGAGGAGAAGAAACUUACGAGGAUUCCUUUAGUAACGGCGAGCUUAACCCGGAUCAGCCCAGCUUUGAGAAUCCCAAGGCCGCCGUCGUCCGAAUCAGAAGUCCGGAGAAGCGCCCUCGCCGACGGACCGCCCAAGUCCCCGGAAAGGGGCGCCGGGAGGGUGAGAGCCCCGUCCCCGCCGGACCCCGCCGCACCACGCAGGCGCCGUCAACGAAGUCGGGUUGUUUGGGAAUGCAGCCCCACCCGGGCGGUAAAUUCGGCCCAAGGCUAAAUAUGGGCGAGACCGAUAGCAUGUAACAAGUACCGCGAGGGAAAGAUGAAAAGGACUUUGAAAAGAGAGUCAAAGAGUGCUUGAAAUUGCCGGAGGGAAGCGGAUGGGGCCGGCGAUGCACCUCGGCCGGAUGCGAACGGUGGUCGGCCGGUCCGCCGCCGCUCGGGUGCGGAUCGAUGGGGCCGCGCCGACGGGCCGGGCCCGGACGGAUCGUUUCGUCUGAGGGGAUACCGCCGACGCCGGGAAAGGAAACGACGACAUCGCCAUCGGCGCGUUCUCGCUGGGUACACGCCACGACUGGCAUCGCCGCCGGGUUUCCCAUCCCAACCCGCCUUUGAAACACGGACCAAGGAGUCGGACAUGCGCGGCGAAGUCGAUGGGUGCGAAACCCGGAAGGCACAAGGAAGUCGACGGGCGGGAACCUCUGGGUUGACCGCACGACCUCGAUCUUUUCGUGGAAGGGUUCGAGUUGAGCAUGCAUGUCGGGACCAAAGAUGGUGAACUAUGCCCGAAGGAGGCGAAGCCGAGGAAACUUCUGGUGGAGGCCCGGCGAUACCGACGCGGCAAAUCGCUCGUCUGACUUGGGUAUAGGGGCGAAGACUAAUCGAACCAUCUAGUAGUCGGUUCCCUCCAAGUUUCCCUCAGAUAGCCGGAGCCCACACGCCGAAGUUCUAUCGGGUAAAGCCAAUGAUUAGAGGCAUCGGGGCGAACGCCUCGACCUAUUCUCAAACUUUAAAUAGGUAGGACUGCGCUGCCGCUGCUGAGCCGCCGCUGAAUCGAGAGCUCCGCGGGCCAUUUUGGUAAGCGAAUCGGCGAUGCGCGGGAUGAACCGAAGCCGGGUUACGGCGCUCAAUCAAGGCUAACCCGCACACCACAAAGGGUGUUGGUCGAUUAAGACGCCAGAUUCGUGGUCAUGGAAGUUUAAACCGCUAAGGAGUGUGUAACAACUCACCCGCCAAUCAACCAGCCCGAAAAUGGAUGGCGCCAAGCCGCCGCGACCACACCCCGCCAUCGGGCGCAGCCAAGCCCCGAUGAGGAGGCAAGGCGUCGCCGCGAAACCCGUAUGAAAGCCCAAGCGAGCACUGGCCGGUGCAGAUCUUGGUGGUAGUAGCAAAUAUUCAAAUGAGAACUUUGAAGGUCAAGAGGGGAAAGGUUCCAUGUGAACGGCACUUGCACAUGGGUUAGCCGAUCCUAAGGGACGGGGAAGCCCGUCCGAGAGCCGCUCGCCGCGAGUCCGGAAGGGAAUCGGUUAAAACCCCGAGCCGACGACGCGCGCGACGGCAACGUUAGGGAAGUCCGGAGACGCCGCGGGGCCCCGGAAGAGUUAUUUUUUCGCUUAACGCCCGCCCACUCGAAACGCCACGGAGGUAGGGUCCAAUGGUCGAAGAGCGCGCACGCAUGGCUGGCGGCGCGCCCGGGCUGCCCUUUGAAAACCGGAGGACCCGAGUGCCGCCCGCCUCGGCCUGCAUUUCAUAACCGCGAUCGUUCCAAGGUGAACAGCCUCCGCCCAUGGAACAAUGUAGGCAAGGGAAGUCGGCAAAACGGAUCCAGAAUCUCGGGAAAAGGAUUGGCUCGAGGGUCGGGCACGGGUCCCCGCCUCAACCCGCCGGCCGUUUGCGGAUCGCUGAGCCGCUUUCGGGCGAGAGCGGUCGUCGCCGCGGUCGGCCGGGGACGGACGGAACGCCCUCGGGCCUUUCCCCGCGCCGAACAACCGACCACUCGAAUCGGUAACGACAAGGGGAAUCCGACCGCUUAAUUAAAACAAAGCAUUGCGAUGGUCCCGCGAUGCUCACGCGAAUGUGAUUUCGCCCUGCUCAAUGUCAAAGUGAAGAAAUUCAACCAAGCGCUGGUAAACGGCGGGAGUAACUAUGACUUCUUUAGUAGCCAAAUGCCUCGCCAUCUAAUUAGUGACGCGCGAUGAAUGGAUUAACGAGAUUCCCAUCGCCCCUCGCUUACUAUCCAACAAACCACGCCCAAGGAACGGGCUCAUGUAAUCGGGCCGGGGAAAGAAGACCGCUGAGCUUGACUCUAGUCCCACUUUGUGAAAUGACUUGAGAGGUGUAGGAUAAGUGGGAGCCGUUCGUCACGGCGGAAGUGAAAUACCACUACUUUUAACGUUAUUUUACUUAUUCCGCGAGUCGGAGGCGGGCCCGCCCUCCUUUUUUUUGACUCCGCGCCCGCCAAGGGCCGAUCCGCGGAAGACAUUGUCGUGGGAGUUUGGUCAAGCGCACAUCUGUUAAAAGAUAACCAGGUGUCCUAAGAUGAGCUCAACGAGAACGAAAUCUCGCGGUGGAACAAAAGGGUAAAAGCUCGCUUGAUUUCGAUUUCCAAGACGAAUACGUAACCGGAAAGCGCGGCCUAUCGAUCCUUUAGACCUUCGGAAUUUGAAGCUAGAGGUGUUUAAAAAGUUACCAUUGUGGAUAACGCUCAGGCAGCCAAGCCGCUCAUAGCGACGCUUUUUUUGAUCCUUCGAUGUCGCUUUUCCUAUCAUUGUGAAGCGUAAUUCACCAAGUGUUGGAUUGUUCACCCACCAAUAGGGAACGAGAGUCGGGUUUAGACCGUCGCGAGAGACGUUAGUUUUACCCUACCGAUGAUCGUCGCCGAUAGUAAUUCAACCUAGUACGAGAGGAACCGCUGAUUCACACAAUUGGUCAUCGCGCUUUGGUUGAAAAAAGCCGGGCGCUGGUUACCGCGGUGUCGGAUUAUGACCGAACGCCUAAGUCGAAUCCUAGCUAGCAACCGGCGCUCGCAUUCGUCGCUCAGCCCCGACCACAAGAGGGGCCUUCGCCCCACGGGCUCGGUCGCCGGUAGCCCCCGGUGGUGGUACGGCCACGGUGGCUAUCGGAAGUACACCGCGACGACGACGGGUCAAUCCUUUGCGCACGACUUAAAUACGCUGAUGGG